This 106-nucleotide non-coding RNA is filed under the name Vibrio cincinnatiensis. RNAcentral describes it as "Glycine sequence". It matches the Rfam family "Glycine riboswitch aptamer". Rfam says of the family: This family represents the bacterial glycine riboswitch. Lineage: Bacteria; Pseudomonadati; Pseudomonadota; Gammaproteobacteria; Vibrionales; Vibrionaceae. The record is from RNAcentral.
GGAGGAACCUCUGGAGAGAACCGUUGAAUCGGUCGCCGAAGGAGCAAGCUCUGCUUACCCAAUGAAGUAGAGUGAAACUCUCAGGCAAAAGGACAGAGGAGUGAAA